This 305-nucleotide ribosomal RNA is filed under the name uncultured bacterium. Its description in RNAcentral is "bacterial SSU rRNA". It matches the Rfam family "Bacterial small subunit ribosomal RNA", at positions 337 to 640 of the family's 1533-position model. The record is from RNAcentral.
ACCUACGGGAGGCAGCAGUGAGGAAUAUUGGUCAAUGGUCGGGAGACUGUACCAGCCAAGCCGCGUGAGGGAUGAAGGUACAGAGUAUCGUAAACCUCUUUUGUCAGGGAACAAAGGCGGGGACGUGUCCCCGGAUGAGUGUACCUGAAGAAAAAGCAUCGGCUAACUCCGUGCCAGCAGCCGCGGUAAUACGGAGGAUGCGAGCGUUAUCCGGAUUUAUUGGGUUUAAAGGGUGCGCAGGCGGUCUGUUAAGUCAGCGGUCAGAGCCCGGGGCUCAACCCCGGCCCGCCGUUGAAACUGGCAGG